RNAcentral lists this ribosomal RNA (452 nucleotides) under Candida maltosa. RNAcentral describes it as "partial large subunit ribosomal RNA". It matches the Rfam family "Eukaryotic large subunit ribosomal RNA", at positions 181 to 648 of the family's 3401-position model. Lineage: Eukaryota; Fungi; Ascomycota; Pichiomycetes; Serinales; Debaryomycetaceae. The record is from RNAcentral.
CUAUGUUUCUUGGAACAGAACGUCACAGAGGGUGAGAAUCCCGUGCGAUGAGAUGAUCCAGACCUAUGUAAAGUUCCUUCGACGAGUCGAGUUGUUUGGGAAUGCAGCUCUAAGUGGGUGGUAAAUUCCAUCUAAAGCUAAAUAUUGGCGAGAGACCGAUAGCGAACAAGUACAGUGAUGGAAAGAUGAAAAGAACUUUGAAAAGAGAGUGAAAAAGUACGUGAAAUUGUUGAAAGGGAAGGGCUUGAGAUCAGACUUGGUAUUUUGUAUGUUACUUCUUCGGGGGUGGCCUCUACAGUUUAUCGGGCCAGCAUCAGUUUGGACGGUAGGACAAUUGCGGUGGAAUGUGGCACGGCUUCGGUUGUGUGUUAUAGCCACUGUCGAUACUGCCAGUCUAGACUGAGGACUGCGGUUUUAUUACCUAGGAUGUUGGCAUAAUGAUCUUAAGUCGC